UCUUCGUUCGUUCAUUCAUUCCUUCCUCUUCUCCUGGCGUUUCAUCUCUCGUUCCAGAGUUAUCCGAUUGCUUUUUUUCCUCCAGCUGCUUUUUCGGUCCCACUAGUUAAAACGUCAAAACUGCUUGGAGACCACCAAAGCCUAGGGACUAGGUGAAGAACAUUCAAGCAUAGCUUCUGAGAUCACAUCUCAGUCAACGAUUCUCCCUUGACAACGACACUGAAUCCCAUUGAAGAACUGGUAGACUGGUAGCAAAUUGGACUGAACUCUGUAAGAAACAAAGACUGCCAACCUUGGCUCAUCACCACCGUUUACCUGCUGUGAUUCACUGAACUCUGCUUAGCUCUGGGAAAUUUUUAGUCAUUGAUGAAGUCGUGACACCAUAUUAAACUGACCUUUUUUUGGGUUGGAGCCUAAAGAAACCAGGUGUGGACAAACACGGUCCAUUUUUGUUCAAAAAAAUCUGGACCAGAGUUUUGCAUUCUAUUGUGCGACUGUUUUUUAUGCUUCCGAAGAACAUUCAAUAUUUUUCCUUAGCGUUUUUUUUUUCUUUACGAGACCGACAAGAAUCCAUUUCAACACUCACUCAGGAUUCCCAGCGUCAAGACAGGAGCGAAGAACUUCAAAAACCUCUGCGUGUAAACGUUACUGACGUUGAACUUGAGAUAGCCCACAACACAUUUUCACAGUGAACUGAUUUCCCCUCCGUGCUCCUGGCUGCCUGGUGAAACCUCUUCUUCCUGUGGUUUUGUGUCGCCUCUCACUCUCUCUUUUUUUAAAAAACUGAUCUCUGCUGCUCUCGUUUUUACGUGGCUUCUGCGUUUCUUCAUCCUUCCACUCGAGGAUAUGAAAGGUCGAGAGGAGAUCCAGUCCACAGCACCAUGCCAGAACUGAGCAGACGUGGUGAGAGUUGGGCUGACAAUGUUCAAGGGACUACAUUUUCACUCCUCCUCCACGAUGCCCGUCAGCCUCUGCUGUCUCCUCUCCCCCUCCU
Long non-coding RNA from Alosa sapidissima (American shad), 994 nucleotides. RefSeq lists it as uncharacterized. The transcript is spliced from 3 exons. NCBI's taxonomy places the organism in Eukaryota, Metazoa, Chordata, Actinopteri, Clupeiformes, Clupeidae. The record is from RefSeq and is a predicted model, not a curated record.